Molecule: ribosomal RNA, 1288 nt
Filed under: Salmonella enterica
Lineage: Bacteria; Pseudomonadati; Pseudomonadota; Gammaproteobacteria; Enterobacterales; Enterobacteriaceae
Also listed under: 1 other name
Description: partial 23S ribosomal RNA
Rfam family: Bacterial large subunit ribosomal RNA
Source: RNAcentral
CAGGUGGUCAGGUAGAGAAUACCAAGGCGCUUGAGAGAACUCGGGUGAAGGAACUAGGCAAAAUGGUGCCGUAACUUCGGGAGAAGGCACGCUGACACGUAGGUGAAGUGAUUUACUCAUGGAGCUGAAGUCAGUCGAAGAUACCAGCUGGCUGCAACUGUUUAUUAAAAACACAGCACUGUGCAAACACGAAAGUGGACGUAUACGGUGUGACGCCUGCCCGGUGCCGGAAGGUUAAUUGAUGGGGUCAGCGCAAGCGAAGCUCCUGAUCGAAGCCCCGGUAAACGGCGGCCGUAACUAUAACGGUCCUAAGGUAGCGAAAUUCCUUGUCGGGUAAGUUCCGACCUGCACGAAUGGCGUAAUGAUGGCCAGGCUGUCUCCACCCGAGACUCAGUGAAAUUGAACUCGCUGUGAAGAUGCAGUGUACCCGCGGCAAGACGGAAAGACCCCGUGAACCUUUACUAUAGCUUGACACUGAACAUUGAGCCUUGAUGUGUAGGAUAGGUGGGAGGCUUUGAAGUGUGGACGCCAGUCUGCAUGGAGCCGACCUUGAAAUACCACCCUUUAAUGUUUGAUGUUCUAACGUGGACCCGUGAUCCGGGUUGCGGACAGUGUCUGGUGGGUAGUUUGACUGGGGCGGUCUCCUCCUAAAGAGUAACGGAGGAGCACGAAGGUUGGCUAAUCCUGGUCGGACAUCAGGAGGUUAGUGCAAUGGCAUAAGCCAGCUUGACUGCGAGCGUGACGGCGCGAGCAGGUGCGAAAGCAGGUCAUAGUGAUCCGGUGGUUCUGAAUGGAAGGGCCAUCGCUCAACGGAUAAAAGGUACUCCGGGGAUAACAGGCUGAUACCGCCCAAGAGUUCAUAUCGACGGCGGUGUUUGGCACCUCGAUGUCGGCUCAUCACAUCCUGGGGCUGAAGUAGGUCCCAAGGGUAUGGCUGUUCGCCAUUUAAAGUGGUACGCGAGCUGGGUUUAGAACGUCGUGAGACAGUUCGGUCCCUAUCUGCCGUGGGCGCUGGAGAACUGAGGGGGGCUGCUCCUAGUACGAGAGGACCGGAGUGGACGCAUCACUGGUGUUCGGGUUGUCAUGCCAAUGGCACUGCCCGGUAGCUAAAUGCGGAAGAGAUAAGUGCUGAAAGCAUCUAAGCACGAAACUUGCCCCGAGAUGAGUUCUCCCUGAGACUUUAGGUCUCCUGAAGGAACGUUGAAGACGACGACGUUGAUAGGCCGGGUGUGUAAGCGCAGCGAUGCGUUGAGCUAACCGGUACUAAUGAACCGUGAGGCUUAACCUU